RNAcentral lists this ribosomal RNA (412 nucleotides) under actinobacterium SCGC AAA027-D23. RNAcentral describes it as "bacterial SSU rRNA". It matches the Rfam family "Bacterial small subunit ribosomal RNA", at positions 353 to 777 of the family's 1533-position model. The record is from RNAcentral. Lineage: Bacteria; Bacillati; Actinomycetota; Actinomycetes.
AGUGGGGAAUAUUGCGCAAUGGGCGAAAGCCUGACGCAGCGACGCCGCGUGAGGGAUGAAGGUCUUCGGAUUGUAAACCUCUUUCAGCAGGGACGAAGCGAAAGUGACGGUACCUGCAGAAGAAGCACCGGCUAACUACGUGCCAGCAGCCGCGGUAAUACGUAGGGUGCAAGCGUUGUCCGGAUUUAUUGGGCGUAAAGAGCUCGUAGGCGGUUAGACACGUCGGAUGUGAAAACUGGGGGCUCAACCCCCAGCCUGCAUUCGAUACGGUCUGACUAGAGUGUGGUAGGGGUAACUGGAAUUCCUGGUGUAGCGGUGAAAUGCGCAGAUAUCAGGAGGAACACCGAUGGCGAAGGCAGGUUACUGGGCCACCACUGACGCUGAGGAGCGAAAGCGUGGGGAGCAAACCGGA